Molecule: ribosomal RNA, 253 nt
Filed under: uncultured bacterium
Lineage: Bacteria
Description: partial 16S ribosomal RNA
Rfam family: Bacterial small subunit ribosomal RNA
Source: RNAcentral
UACGGGGGGGGCAAGCGUUGUUCGGAAUUACUGGGCGUAAAGGGCUCGUAGGUGGCCAACUAAGUCAGACGUGAAAUCCCUCGGCUUAACCGGGGAACUGCGUCUGAUACUGGAUGGCUUGAGUUCGGGAGAGGGAUGCGGAAUUCCAGGUGUAGCGGUGAAAUGCGUAGAUAUCUGGAGGAACACCGGUGGCGAAGGCGGCAUCCUGGACCGAUACUGACGCUCAUGCACGAAAGCGUGGGGAGCAAACAGG